Molecule: transfer RNA, 68 nt
Filed under: Pagellus erythrinus (common pandora)
Lineage: Eukaryota; Metazoa; Chordata; Actinopteri; Spariformes; Sparidae
Description: tRNA-Cys
Source: RNAcentral
AAGCUCUGAGGUGUUUUACACGUUGGAUUGCAAACCCAAAGUAGUAGACUAACGUCUACCGGGGCUUU